GAAAUUUUAUCAAUGAUUGUAUACUAUGCAUGUUUUGAUUUAGUUCGUUUCAGAUUUGACAUGAGAUGAAAACCUGACAUGAUUUGAACAGAGCUGGGAAACGAAAAGAUUUUCAGAUGUGUGCUGGCAGUUCAAGUCUGGCAGCUGGAGUGAACAGUCGUGUUUUCUGGAGCUCCAACAAUAUGCUAGAAGGAGUGCUUAUCCAGUGAUGAUAUGACAGUUGGAGUGAACAGUGGAGCCAAGCAGUCUUGUUUUUGGAGCUACUCAACAAGCCUUGAAGAUGCUGAUGGCAGUGAUGGGUUUUCAAGCUGACCUGAACAGAAAAGCACUCAUAUGGUAAGUACAAAAUAGUUGUUAUAUGGGAUGUUUUGUGCAUGCUUUUAUGUUUCAGGUGUACUUGCUGACAGCGACGAAGACGAAUCAAGAAGAGGAACAUUGUUGAGAAAGUGAUUGGGACUUGCAAACAGGGUAAGUGUAACACUUGUGUUUGUUUAAUUUGUAACAUGCGUGCUUUGCUCUGUUUCAGAUUUCACAUGCAGAAAUUAAACAGGAUUUCAACUGCUGAGACACAAUUCAUCAAAAGUAAGGUAAGUUUUAAUUCAUUGAUUUGAGUUGUACAAUGUGUUCUUUACUUUAUUUCAGAUUCGAGUCACUGGUUUACACAUGGAAGAAGAUUUCCACGUCUGUUACUCAACUCUACAGAAGCAAGGUAAGUCGAUCAAAUUUUUGUUUUCAUUGACUGCUGUAAUGUGAUGUUAUGCUAUUUUUCAUGUGUGCUAUGCAGAGAUGGAGAAUUCAAUUUUAAGAAAGAUUAACUGCUGCAGCUUAGCUCUGCUCUGUGUUGAUUUUUGUUCAAAAACGUUUAAAAUGUAUGUGUGUUUUCAGAUGUUUUGUUUCAGUUGAUGUCCAGAUGGCAAGCAGUACAGACGUGUUUCUUGGAGCUGCCAAACAGUGUACUUGUAGUCAGCGACGAAGACGAUUCAAGAAGAGGAACAUUGCUGAGAAAGUGAAUGGGACAUGCAAACAGGGUAAGUGUUACAAUUGUUGGUUUGAUUUUUACCAUGCAUACUUUGCUUUACUCUGUUUCAGAUUUCACAUGCAGAAAUGGUCUCAUAGCAGUGCCAACAGUGAAUAAGGAUUUCAUCUGCUGUGAAACAACUCAACAGAAAGUAGGUAAGCAUUGAAUGAAUGCACUUGAGCUGUACAAUUUGAUGUGAUGCUUUUCUCUGUUUCAGAUUCAAGUUCCUGGUGUAGACAGAGAAAUGUGUUUGAAGAAGGAAUUCUACUACUGUGAUUCAACUCUACAGAAGCAAGGUAAGUAGAAACAAAAUUUUGGUUUAAUUUAACUCAUGUGUUUUGCACUGCAUGCUAUUUUUCAGGUCUCUCAUGCAGUGAGGGAAAAGAAGAAGAUUUCAAGAAAAAAUCACUGCUGCAACUCAGGCCGAUAACAAGGUAAGCGUUUACUAUAUUGUAUACAAAAUGUUUUUCUGUUUUACUCUGUUUCAGGUUUCAAUUGCAGAGAUGUUGCAGAGAUGAUUUGACAGCUUGUGACAGAAAAGAAAUUCAGCAGCUGUGUCUCGACUCUAGCCACGAGGUAAGUCAAAACAAAUAUACUGGUUUGUAUGUAAUGUUGUUAUGUCCCUUCUAUGUUUCAGACUUACAUUGCUGUGACUGUUCGACAGUGGGUCAAAAAAGAGACAAAUACAGGUUUCAAGAAGAAAAUUGGCUGUUGAAAACCUGCACAAAAUAUGAGGUAAGUAAACUAUUCUUUUGGUUUGUUUUGUGCUUUGUUAUGCUUAACUAUUUUUCAGAUUGGAAUGGUGGGUCGUUACAGAGCAGACUUUUGGACAACUGAGAAGUUGAGAAACAGAGAAUGAUUCAAGAUCAGCUAGGUAAGUCUUGAUUAUUAUGCAUUGCUAAAUGUUUUUUUCAUUCCAGUAUGGCUGUGGUAAGUACACAAACUUUCUAUAAUUUAAUAUUGAACUGUUUUUAUGACCUGUAUUCUGCAUUGUAAAAUGUCUGUUUUUCAUUUCAGUAUCCUGUGGUAAGUACACAAACUUUCUAUAAUUUCAUAUUGAACUGUUUUGAUGACUUGUAUUCUACUAUGCAAUGCUUAAUGUAUUUUUUCAGUAGCCUGUUGGUAAGUACAAUUGCCUUCUUUAAUUUUCAUAUUGAACUGUUUUGAUGAUGUGUAUACUGCUAUGCAAUGCUUAAUGUUUUUUUCAUUUCAGUAUGGCUGUGGUAAGUACACAUACUUUCUAUAAUUUCAUAUUGAACUGUUUUGAUGACUUGUAUACUGCUAUGCAAAAUGUCUGUUUUUCAUUUCAGUAGCCUGUGGUAAGUACACUAACUUUCUUUAAUUUUCAUAUUGAACUGUUUUGAUGACUUGUAUUCUGCUAUACAAAAUGUGCUUUUUUCAAUUUCAGGUCAGCAAUGGUAAGUAUAGUGUGUUUCUUUAUGUAUAAUUUUGUAUACAUAUUGUUUUUUUCAUCAUAGCAUGUCUUUUAUAUUUAUGCUUUGUGUAAGUAAAAUGUUCAUAAAUCAUUCUUAUCUUCAAACUAAAAAUGUAUUGUGCUAUGCAAAAUGUCUGUAUGAUUUCAGUUGCCAGAGGUGAGUACCAUUACAGUUGAAAAGUUAGUUUUGUUUAGUUAAAGUUUUGGUUCACAGUUCUGUUUGUUAUUUGGCAAAAUUUACAUGUAUGCAUUGAGUCUUGAUUUCAGCUAGAUUGUGGACUGAAGAAGAUUGCCAGCAGAGGGAUUGGAUACAAGAUACAAACUUUACUGCUGGACGAGUGUUCUCUACUACUAGACGUGUCAGGUUUACUACCAGGCGAGCAGUGACAACAAGGCGCCUUUGUGGAAACAACACAACAAAAAACUGUACUGCUAGACGAGCAGUGACAGAAAGGCGCCUGAACAUGCAACACAAUACAAAAAAUGCCAAUUUGCAAACCUUGAUGUGGACACCGAGUAGUCAAUACAUACGUGUGGCGUAUAGCUGCGACAAAACCGUGGGUCCAUCGCACCGAUAACUCGAACAUUGGCCCGCGUAUGGACAUCAGUGCAACUUUGUGAAUCCAUGUAACUUUGUGAAUCCAUGUAACAUUGCGAAUAUGUGUCGAUCGAAAAAUGUGUACAUUCUGCACUGAAACGAACUCGGUGUUGCAAGUGGCAAGUGUUGACAGUGUGUAUGUUUAUGUUUAUGUUUUUACAUGAAAACUAAAGGAGAUUGUUCUCCUACCUUUUUUUUCCUUGUUUUAUUGCGCUGGCCAGCAAUAUUGAUGUAUUGAUGUAUGUGUUUGUGUUUAAACUAUGCAAUACCAAAAUCAAACAAAAAAUAAACAUUAACAGUCAUUAACUGUGUUUGGGCGGCCGAGGGGUUUAAGACUCCACAAGUGUGAAGCGCACUGAUAGCACUUGGGGGUGAACACCUCGGUAUUUCGGUGCUAAAAUGUUUUCACGGUGCUUAUCUUGACGCACUGUUAAGACUACCAACCAGUUAAUGAUUGCUUCAUCUUUAAACAAAAAGUAAGUCUCUACUUUGGCACAAGAGACUCCAAGUACCAAAUACCAACAAUUAAAAAGCAGACGUUUUUCAAAACUAUGAUCGCUGAGAUUGAUAGUCAGAUGGAGUCCUGCCCAGUUAGCUGUGUAGCGGUCUAGGGCGGGGUUGCAAGUCAAUACGAAAUGAGGCGCUAUAAAGCAACUCGUCCCCGUUAUGACCGUCAAUACUUUCGACACUAUCUGGGAAUCCUUUCAACACCACAUUGUUGCGCUGUUGGAAGGGUGGUAGGCACGCAUGGUGACAUGCCUGUGCUUUGCUAUGCGACACCAUGGUAUUUUCGUACGGUGACACGAAAUAUCUUAAUCUGGCUCUCUCAGAAACGCAGGCACGCGUUGACCGAACCUGACCGAUGACCGAGCAAUAACAUUUCUAUUAAGUGCUUCAAUGCACAAAGUCUGCUAGGCUGGGUGGGAA
Molecule: long non-coding RNA, 3978 nt
Organism: Dreissena polymorpha
Lineage: Eukaryota; Metazoa; Mollusca; Bivalvia; Myida; Dreissenidae
Exons: 8
Source: RefSeq, a predicted model, not a curated record